AAAAAUCCCGACUUUGGAAGGGAUGUAUUUAUUAGAUUAAAAACCAAUGCCCUCUGGGCUCCUUGGUGAUUCAUGAUAACUUUUCGAAUCGCACGGCCUUGCGCCGGCGAUGGUUCAUUCAAAUUUCUUCCCUAUCAACUUUCGAUGUUUGGGUAUUGGCCAAACAUGGUCGCAACGGGUAACGGAGGGUUAGGGCUCGACCCCGGAGAAGGAGCCUGAGAAACGGCUACUACAUCCAAGGAAGGCAGCAGGCGCGCAAAUUACCCAAUCCCGAUUCGGGGAGGUAGUGACAAUAAAUACUGAUACAGGGCUCUUUUGGGUCUUGUAAUUGGAAUGAGUACAAUUUAAAUCCCUUAACGAGGAACAAUUGGAGGGCAAGUCUGGUGCCAGCAGCCGCGGUAAUUCCAGCUCCAAUAGCGUAUAUUAAAGUUGUUGUGGUUAAAAAGCUCGUAGUUGAACCUUGGGCCUGGCUGGCCGGUCCGCCUCACCGCGUGUACUGGUCCGGCCGGGCCUUUCCCUCUGUGGAACCUCAUGCCCUUCACUGGGUGUGGCGGGGAAACAGGACUUUUACUUUGAAAAA
RNAcentral lists this ribosomal RNA (580 nucleotides) under uncultured Lecanicillium. RNAcentral's name for it is "SSU rRNA". It matches the Rfam family "Eukaryotic small subunit ribosomal RNA", at positions 174 to 764 of the family's 1831-position model. The record is from RNAcentral. Lineage: Eukaryota; Fungi; Ascomycota; Sordariomycetes; Hypocreales; Cordycipitaceae.